GUGGGUGGCUGGCGAUGCCGCCACCCGCCAUUCUCCUCUUGUCGUUGUUGCUCCGGGGCCGAUCAUCGAGCCCCGGUUUUUUUUU
This 85-nucleotide non-coding RNA is filed under the name Caballeronia telluris. Its description in RNAcentral is "Burkholderia sp. LMG 22936 Burkholderia sRNA 16 (Bc_KC_sr1)". It matches the Rfam family "Burkholderia sRNA 16 (Bc_KC_sr1)". From Rfam's summary of the family: Identified by RNA-seq, RACE and Northern blot. Strongly expressed in biofilm. Also know as Bc_KC_sr1. The record is from Rfam by way of RNAcentral. Lineage: Bacteria; Pseudomonadati; Pseudomonadota; Betaproteobacteria; Burkholderiales; Burkholderiaceae.